This 164-nucleotide ribosomal RNA is filed under the name uncultured bacterium. Its description in RNAcentral is "partial 16S rRNA". It matches the Rfam family "Bacterial small subunit ribosomal RNA", at positions 355 to 511 of the family's 1533-position model. The record is from RNAcentral.
UAGGGAAUCUUCCACAAUGGGCGCAAGCCUGAUGGAGCAACACCGCGUGAGUGAAGAAGGUUUUCGGAUCGUAAAGCUCUGUUGUUGGUGAAGAAGGAUAGAGGCAGUAACUGGUCUUUAUUUGACGGUAAUCAACCAGAAAGUCACGGCUAACUACGUGCCAC